RNAcentral lists this ribosomal RNA (483 nucleotides) under uncultured bacterium. RNAcentral describes it as "partial 16S ribosomal RNA". It matches the Rfam family "Bacterial small subunit ribosomal RNA", at positions 30 to 506 of the family's 1533-position model. The record is from RNAcentral.
AUUGAACGCUGGCGGCAGGCCUAACACAUGCAAGUCGAGCGGAUGAAGGGAGCUUGCUCCUGGAUUCAGCGGCGGACGGGCGAGUAAUGCAUAGGAAUCUGCCUGGUAGUGGGGGAUAACGUCCGGAAACGGGCGCUAAUACCGCAUACGUCCUGAGGGAGAAAGUGGGGGAUCUUCGGACCUCACGCUAUCAGAUGAGCCUAGGUCGGAUUAGCUAGUUGGUGGGGUAAAGGCCUACCAAGGCGACGAUCCGUACCUGGUAUGGGAGGUUGAUCAGCCACCCGGGACCUGGGACCCGGUCCAGACUCCUACGGGGGGCGGCGGUGGGGAUUUUUCGCCAUGGGGCGAAGCCCUGCGGCAGCCAGGCCGCGUGUGUGAAGAAGUUCUUCGGUUUGUAAAGCACUUUAUGUUGGGAGGAAGGGCAGUUAGUUAAUACCUUGCUGUUUUGCCGUUACCAACAGGAUAGGCACCGGCUAACUUCUU